UGCCAGACUCCUACGGGAGGCAGCAGUGAGGAAUAUUGGUCAAUGGGCGGAAGCCUGAACCAGCCAAGUCGCGUGAGGGAAGAAGGCCCUGCGGGUCGCAGACCUCUUUGGACGGGGAGCAAGGCCGCCGACGUGUCGGCGGAAGGAGAGUACCCGUAGAACAAGCAUCGGCUAACUCCGUGCCAGCAGCCGCGGUAAUACGUAGGGGGCAAGCGUUAUCCGGAUUUACUGGGUGUAAAGGGAGCGUAGACGGCAAUACAAGUCGGAAGUGAAAUACCCGGGCUCAACCUGGGAACUGCUUUGGAAACUGUAUGGCUGGAGUGCUGGAGAGGUAAGCGGAAUUCCUAGUGUAGCGGUGAAAUGCGUAGAUAUUAGGAGGAACACCAGUGGCGAAGGCGGCUUACUGGACAGUAACUGACGUUGAGGCUCGAAAGCGUGGGGAGCAAACAGGAUUAGAUACCCUCGUAA
RNAcentral lists this ribosomal RNA (468 nucleotides) under uncultured bacterium. Its description in RNAcentral is "bacterial SSU rRNA". It matches the Rfam family "Bacterial small subunit ribosomal RNA", at positions 329 to 793 of the family's 1533-position model. The record is from RNAcentral.